UCUACGGGAGGCAGCAGUGGGGAAUAUUGGGCAAUGGGCGCAAGCCUGACCCAGCAACGCCGCGUGAAGGAAGAAGGCUUUCGGGUUGGAAACUUCUUUUAAGGGGGACGAACAAAUGACGGUACCCCUUGAAUAAGACACGGCUAACUACGUGCCAGCAGCCGCGGUAAUACGUAGGUGGCAAGCUUUAUCCGGAUUUAUUGAGUGUAAAGGGCGUGUAGGCGGGAGCGCACGUCAGAUGUGACAACUCAGGGCUCAACCCUGAGCCUGCAUUUGAAACUGUGUUUCGUGAGUGCUGGUGAGGCAAUCGGAAUUCCGUGUGUAGCGGUGAAAUGCGUAGAUAUACGGAGGAACACCAGUGGCGAAGGCGGAUUGCUGGACAGUAACUGACGCUGAGGCGCGAAAGCGUGGGGAGCAAACAGGAUUAGAUACCCCGGUAGUC
RNAcentral lists this ribosomal RNA (442 nucleotides) under uncultured bacterium. Its description in RNAcentral is "partial 16S ribosomal RNA". It matches the Rfam family "Bacterial small subunit ribosomal RNA", at positions 338 to 795 of the family's 1533-position model. The record is from RNAcentral.